CCCUGUGGUGGACACAGCGAUGAGCUGAUGGAUGGCUGAUGGAUGGCUCAUGGAUGGGGCUGCCCAGCUGGCCCCCACUUGAAUCCAUGGCAAGCUUACCUCUGAGUCUGGUGGCCUCAGAUGCCCCUUCCCUCAGAUGCUCCACCUUCCCUACAACACAAGUCCUCACUCUGGACAUCCUCCUUCCCAAUCACAUCCACCCGGGCCACAGAGGUUGUUGGGUGGGGAGAGGAGAGGGCUGGGCCAGGUAUGGAGAUCUCAACGCCAGCAAGCAGUCUGUUCCCUCUUUGGGAAGCAGCUAAGCAGCAGUAAGCAGGCCGCUUUCUACCAAUGCAGUGACACAUCAUCACCUGAACUUCAAAAGCACAGUGGACAGUUCACGGCAGGAGCUUAGGGUCCACAGCUCGGGGGCAGGAAGACAGGGAUGGAAAGGAGGGGCUGAAAAGGAAGGACUGAGGGGCGUGAAGGAAGAAGGAAAGAGGGCUGGGGUAACCCCGAACACCCCUGUGACCAUCCGUAGAAACGAGAGGGCAAGCCAAGGAGCUGCCAUUUGGGUGCCUGAGCCUGAGGGGCCAGCACAAAGCAGGAGCAGUUGCAGAGCAGGACUGGGGACACAGGAGUCAUCAUCUCAAGGUUCUACAAGGAGUACAAAGCCAGGGCAGGGUGGCAAAGAGGGGCCAACAGGUGGGCCAUGGGAGAAGCAGCAAGGGGGAAAGUCAUCAAGGGAGCUAAAGGGAGGAGGUGAAGACAGGGAGUGCCCCAAAGCACAGGUCCCAAGAGAAGUGGGGGUCCAGCCCUGUAGGAGGCACAUGAGAGGCGUGGGAGGGAGGAAGCCAGGAGGAAAGAAGGAACAGGCCAAAAAGAGAGCCUGGAGACUGAUUAGGUAAAGGCUUAAAAGACUUAAUUCAUCUAUUUAUUUAAAAUAAACAGGUGUCCUGAAUGUGGUUAGACUGAGGUGACAGUAACAGAAGCCCUUCCCUGCUCUCUACCUCAUCUGAGGAACUGAAAGUGUGAGCCUACAGAACGAGGGAUGGCAAGGACAUGUCGUCUGAAGACCCCAGUGUGAGGACAAAAGGGAUCCUAAGAUGCAUGGAGUAGAUGAGGCAAUGUGUACCUCCCCUGUGAGGAAGGAGAUGGGAGUGCACCCUGGGAGCACAAGAUGGACCCCUGAGAGAAGAGGUCAUCCAGAAGGGCCCCAGCUGCCCAUGGGGAAUGAACUAGGGAAGCUAAGGGAAAUGAGCAAAGACCCAAGGGGUCAGGCAGCAUAAACCUAUGGUGGACGCAAGGAACAUGCCUGGCUGCGCCCAGCUGUGGGCCUUCCCCACACGUGCAUUUGGGGCUCAUUUUUCCUCUUAAAUGUCUUAAAGGUCUUAAGACCUUUCCCUCAUGUCAACUGGAACUCAGAAAUAACCUCCCUCUUCACUACCUUAUCAUCAACUA
Non-coding RNA from Chlorocebus sabaeus (green monkey), 1440 nucleotides. The record is from RefSeq and is a predicted model, not a curated record. NCBI's taxonomy places the organism in Eukaryota, Metazoa, Chordata, Mammalia, Primates, Cercopithecidae.